UCAUUUUGUUAUUUGGAAUGACUUCCCAUCCAUAUAAUCAUCCAUACAUUGAAAAUUCAAUACCCUGAAAAUAAUACUUAAACAAUGUAAUCUCAUAAGACGAGACCUGGUGGUUUUCUGAGAACAAAAAAACUAAGAUAAUAAUACUCUGUAUUACAGUUUUACUUUUAUACGAUCAUUUGUAGCUGUCCCUGUAGACACUACUCUGGAGUUUUGCUCACUGUCAGACUCACAAGUAUAGCAGUGUAGUAUUGAUCUUUUACAUAAGAAAUGGCCUAUCAACACUGAGGGUUACUGUGUCACAUCAAUGAAUCUAUUAUGAAAUUGAAUGAUGUGUGUCACUGGUUUUCUGAAGUGAACUAAAACUGUCAAUUUCUCUCCCCUCCAAACGGCUGACCGUCAUUGUGUGUUCCUGCUGAUGUCCUGUGCUGUCUCUACAGUGUGAGUACAAAUAAACACUCAAUUUGUUAGUUAUGACAGUUACUAAACUGAUAUGUAAGUCGUUGGGAAUGACUUCUCAUCUAUAUAAUCGUUGUUGACAGGAAUUACAUCCAUACGUUGGAAAAUUCAACACCCAGAAUAUAAUAAUCAAAGAAUUUGAUCUUCAUUGAAAUGAGAUGAGACCUGCUGGUUUUCUGAGAACAAUCUAAACAUCUGUCUGUCUCCACAGUCCUUGUGGCCCAACCACACUGUAGUCUUGCUCAAUGUCGCAAUAAACAUGAUAGAUCAUAUGAUUUAAUAUGAUACCAAGCACAUCAAAUUUUGUGACCAGUGUCGUGUGUAACUCCAACCCAAACAAACAGACGGGAGAAGCAGAGUGACAUUAAUACCAACAAAAUGAUAUAUUCAAGUAUACACAGAGCUGAGAUGGGGAAGUAGUUAGUCGUGAUUUGUAGUUAAACUUUAACUUUUAAAUUGUUUCCUUUAAUAGAUAUAGAGGACACUGAUUACCUGCUGCGUUUUUGCCUGCCUGUGUGGCCUGCAAACUCCGAAGUACACAGAGGACCUUGACCAGCGCCUGUGCUUUUGCCUGGUGCCUUGCUGAUUUUCUAUCUGUUGUCUCUCCUCUCAUGCUCUCUCUCCCUUUCUGUCCAAUCAGGGAUCAGGUCCUGGUUGUUGUAUUGGCUUUCUGUCUGUGCCUGGCUCUACUCUACCCUCUCUCUCCCUUUCUAUCCAUCAGAUUUUGAGACAUUUUGGCUUUUGAGACAUUUUGGCUUUUGAGACAUCUUGGCUUUUGAGACAUUUUGGACUGAAAUUUUCUAUCUGUUGUCCCUCUCACGCUCUCUCUUUCUGACCAAUUGGGAACUGCCCCAAUUGUUGUUAUUGGAUUUAUCAGCAUAUCAUAUCAGAAAAACUUGGUGAUUGUGAAAACAAUUCAGCUGCAAUUUGAGAUUUUGGAUUGAGAUCUUCUAUUGGUUCUCCCUCUCACGCUCUCUCCCCUUGUGACCAAUUGACCUGAACAAGUUUGACCAGCAUAUUACCACUACCUUAUUGACCAGACUUGAUUUGACAAGCGUUCACUAGCAUUUGAUUUUUGAACUGGUACCAUUGAUUCUAAUUAACUUAAUUGUUAAGUAAGGUAUUGAAAUAAUUGAUUUGAACAUUGAUACAUUGUCCUAACGCAUGAGGUAAUUUAACAAUAGACGGAAAUUUUCAAAAACGAACACAUUUACACAAGAAAUAUUUGGAUAGAGAACAGAUCUUGGAUUUUGGCUUGAAAAAAUACUGGCUUGAGAAAUUACUGAAUUACUGGCUUUUACUGGAUUGACUUUUACUGGAUUGACUUUUCAGUUUCACAAGCACAUUAUCUUGACAAAACAUUACACACUGUGUCAGAGCAGGUUAUCACUGCCUUAUUGACCUGAUUUGAUUUGAACUAUAACAUUGAUCAUCUUUUGAUAAGCAUUAAGGAGCAUUUGAUUUGAACUGCUAACAUUAAUUCUAAUUAAUUUGAUUGUUAACUACAUUUAAAUAACUGAUUUGAGCAUUGAUACAUUGUCAGAAGAUUUUGGAAAACAAUAUACACAAGUAAUAUUUGGAGUGAUAAUCCAUAUUUAUACUAGAAAAUAAAAUAGAAACUGAGGUUUUUUUUCAUUUUUCAAAAGUUUGUGUUUACUGAACUAGUGGGAAUAAGUGUAAAGGUAAAACUAUAUCAUACAGUGCAUUUGUUGUCUCCUCUUCAUCUUUAGUCCUGCUCACAUUAUUUGAAUCAAAAAGUUUUUUGUUGUUUAAAGCUAUAUAUUGUAUUAAAGCCAUCAGUUGUUUGAAGAAGCUGUGAUUGAUUCUGAUAUUUGACUAUAAAGCUGAUAGUCUUUAGUCUAUAUUAACUUGGUUAAGAAAUAAGAUUUGGAUUGCUGUCACUGUAUACCACAUUUGAGCAUUAGUACAUAUCUCUUGAUAGUACUUUAAAGCAUUGAAUAAACAGUAAAACAAACCAAAUAAACUCAAGUUUUACCUGAGCAUACUUUUAGGUCAUUUCUGCAGGCUAAAAAGGGUUUUCUGAAAAAAAAAAAGUGUUUGAGUGUGGUUUGAAUCUACAACAAUGCCGAAGAAAAGUAAGAAGUCCCAAGCUGCACGCUUAC
This 2582-nucleotide long non-coding RNA is filed under the name Sparus aurata (gilthead seabream). RNAcentral describes it as "lncRNA (ENSSAUG00010021242.1)". The record is from RNAcentral. Lineage: Eukaryota; Metazoa; Chordata; Actinopteri; Spariformes; Sparidae.